This 21-nucleotide small nuclear RNA is filed under the name Arabidopsis thaliana (thale cress). Its description in RNAcentral is "snRNA_07770". The record is from RNAcentral. Lineage: Eukaryota; Viridiplantae; Streptophyta; Magnoliopsida; Brassicales; Brassicaceae.
UUGGGGGCGCAACGCCCUCGA